This 389-nucleotide ribosomal RNA is filed under the name Fomitopsis flavimontis. RNAcentral's name for it is "partial large subunit ribosomal RNA". It matches the Rfam family "Eukaryotic large subunit ribosomal RNA", at positions 553 to 944 of the family's 3401-position model. Lineage: Eukaryota; Fungi; Basidiomycota; Agaricomycetes; Polyporales; Fomitopsidaceae. The record is from RNAcentral.
CAUACGGCGAUUGGGAUCGAGGACCGCAGCACGCCUUUAUGGCCGGGGUUCGCCCACGUUCGUGCUUAGGAUGCUGGCGUAAUGGCUUUAAACGACCCGUCUUGAAACACGGACCAAGGAGUCUAACAUGCCUGCGAGUGUUUGGGUGGAAAACCCGAGCGCGUAAUGAAAGUGAAAGUUGAGAUCCCUGUCGUAGGGAGCAUCGACGCCCGGACUUGAACUUCGGUGAUAGAUCUGCGGUAGAGCAUGUAUGUUGGGACCCGAAAGAUGGUGAACUAUGCCUGAAUAGGGUGAAGCCAGAGGAAACUCUGGUGGAGGCUCGUAGCGAUUCUGACGUGCAAAUCGAUCGUCAAAUUUGGGUAUAGGGGCGAAAGACUAAUCGAACCAUC